This 497-nucleotide ribosomal RNA is filed under the name uncultured bacterium. RNAcentral describes it as "partial 16S ribosomal RNA". It matches the Rfam family "Bacterial small subunit ribosomal RNA", at positions 28 to 507 of the family's 1533-position model. The record is from RNAcentral.
GAUGAACGCUGGCGGCGUGCCUAAUACAUGCAAGUCGAGCGAACAGACGAGGAGCUUGCUCCUCUGACGUUAGCGGCGGACGGGUGAGUAACACGUGGAUAACCUACCUAUAAGACUGGGAUAACUUCGGGAAACCGGAGCUAAUACCGGAUAAUAUAUUGAACCGCAUGGUUCAAUAGUGAAAGACGGUUUUGCUGUAACUUAUAGAUGGAUCCGCGCCGCAUUAGCUAGUUGGUAAGGUAACGGCCUAUCAAGGCAACGAUGCGUAGCCGACCUGAGAGGGUGAUCGGCCACACGGGAACUGAGACACGGUCCAGACUCCUACGGGAGGCAGCAGUAGGGAAUCUUCCGCAAUGGGCGAAAGCCUGACGGAGCAACGCCGCGUGAGUGAUGAAGGUCUUCGGAUCGUAAAACUCUGUUAUUAGGGAAGAACAAAUGUGUAAGUAACUAUGCACGUCUUGACGGUACCUAAUCAGAAAGCCACGGCUAACUACGUG